RNAcentral lists this ribosomal RNA (301 nucleotides) under uncultured bacterium. RNAcentral describes it as "partial 16S ribosomal RNA". It matches the Rfam family "Bacterial small subunit ribosomal RNA", at positions 509 to 807 of the family's 1533-position model. The record is from RNAcentral.
CAGUCGCCGCGGUAAUACGUAGGGUGCAAGCGUUAAUCAGAAUUACUGGGCGUAAAGCGUGCGCAGGCGGUUCGUUAAGACAGAUGUGAAAUCCCCGGGCUUAACCUGGGAACUGCAUUUGAAACUGGCAGGCUUGAGUCUUGUAGAGGGGGGUAGAAUUCCAGGUGUAGCGGUGAAAUGCGUAGAGAUCUGGAGGAAUACCGGUGGCGAAGGCGGCCCCCUGGACAAAGACUGACGCUCAGGUGCGAAAGCGUGGGGAGCAAACAGGAUUAGAUACCCGUGUAGUCCCUGUCUCUUAUAC